This 253-nucleotide ribosomal RNA is filed under the name uncultured bacterium. Its description in RNAcentral is "partial 16S ribosomal RNA". It matches the Rfam family "Bacterial small subunit ribosomal RNA", at positions 524 to 776 of the family's 1533-position model. The record is from RNAcentral. RNAcentral also lists the same sequence under 1 other name.
UACGGAGGAUCCAAGCGUUGUCCGGAUUUAUUGGGUUUAAAGGGUGCGUAGGCGGAUAUGCAAGUCAGAGGUGAAAGCUAGCAGCUUAACUGUUAAAUUGCCUUUGAAACUGCAUAUCUUGAGUAUAGUUGAGGUGGGCGGAAUGUAUCAUGUAGCGGUGAAAUGCUUAGAUAUGAUACAGAACUCCGAUUGCGAAGGCAGCUCACUAAGCUAUAACUGACGCUGAGGCACGAAAGCGUGGGUAGCGAACAGG